Molecule: ribosomal RNA, 253 nt
Filed under: uncultured bacterium
Lineage: Bacteria
Description: partial 16S ribosomal RNA
Rfam family: Bacterial small subunit ribosomal RNA
Source: RNAcentral
UACGUAGGGUGCAAGCGUUGUCCGGAAUUAUUGGGCGUAAAGAGCUCGUAGGCGGUUUGUCGCGUCGGCUGUGAAAACCCGAGGCUCAACCUCGGGCCUGCAGUCGAUACGGGCAAACUAGAGUGCGGUAGGGGAGACUGGAAUUCCUGGUGUAGCGGUGAAAUGCGCAGAUAUCAGGAGGAACACCGGUGGCGAAGGCGGGUCUCUGGGCCGAAACUGACGCUGAGGAGCGAAAGCGUGGGGAGCGAACAGG